CGGGGACGGAAGUCCCGCCCCCAGGGCCAGCGGGGCGGGGGCUGGAGGGGAACUUCCUGGCCAGGGGUGGACAGCUUCCGGGAACAAAGUGGAAGAGGCGUACGGUGCGACGGUUCUGAGGCCUUUUCCCAGAUUCCGUGCUGAAGUCCCUGGGGCAGAUGCCAAGUUAAGAGCUGCUGUGCCAGACAAGGAGCUAUGGCAGAGACCAACCUCCAGGAAGUUCAUGAUGAGGAAGAACAAUAGCAGGAAAGCUGGUGCAAAGAGGAGGCGGUCCAGGAGAAGCCUCUUGACCCCAGCCAAAGGGACCUCAGGAGGAAUCCAGUGUUCCAUGAAGAGGUAGAAGAAGUGAUUCAGUGGCCCUGUGAAGAAGAACCUGAGGGCCCCCCGGUGAUGACUUGUUCCUGCCUUGGAUCUCUAAUCAGUCUCUACCUAGCCAGCUCCUACUCAACAUUGUCAGCUUGGAGACUUUGUUCAUGAUUUUUCUGGACAAUGAACCCACCGCUCUCCCAGCCAUUCUCUAUUCCAGUGAUCUCUAAACUGUGAAGCUUGACCUCAUGACCUCGAGAUCAAAAGUUGCAUGUUCUACUGACUGAGCCAGCCAGGUGCCCUGAGAAGGAACAGAAGUCUUGAAGAUGGAAACUGAGUGGAUAAAGCCUCCCAGGGAUUCUGACAUGCUCCCUCCUUCCCGGGUGAUUAUGGCUUUAACUAUAGUAUAGAAACUUGUGAUGACUGCAACCAACAUGCUUACAAAUACAAAGUGAUAUUUGUGAACUUUAAAUUGAAAAAAUGACUCAUGUUGCAAAAGACUUCAAAAUAAUCCAUCUAUACAAAAACUAUUGUUGGCCAGAGAACUCAGUGUGGAUUUAAUUGGUAAAACUCCUGAAUCUCUGUGGUCUCUGCAAUUCCAAAAGUGGUUCAGAACUGGACAUUUUUCAGGAUACCUAAGUAUUUAUUUUCUGGAUGUUUACACUAUGAAAAUAACAGAAACAACUGGCCAUAUUUGAGUCCAUUUUCCUUUUUCAUGGUCUUUGUGUCUUGAAAUCUCAUUUAGGUUCAAGUGAGUUAUCUGCUCUCAAAUCUCUCAGCCCAAUGAAGAUAGCCGCUCCCACCCAUGCAAUUCAAAUGAAAACCAUAAAACCAGUUCACAUUAUCCACCAUUCUGGUUUUUUCCCCAUGUUACUUCAGUGCUUUUUAAAAAUUAUUUUUCCAAGUUAGAUUAUUUCAGAAAGUUGGUCUUGAUACCCUAGCUUUGUUACAAUUAGUUUUCUACUGGGUCCUUUAUGGAACUCACCCAUAAAUGGCGUAUCUGAGAGGCCCACUGACAUCUAGCUUUUGAGAGCAGUUUUCUUUUUCCCGCUUCUUCUCAAUCAUCUGAGCCAGGAAAUUCCCAAGUGCUGACAAAAUGCCACUGUGGACAGAGAUAUAAUCAGAAAACAGGAGCAAGGGACGCCUGGGUGGCUCAGUGGUUUAGCACCUGCCUUCAGUUCAGUGCAUGAUCCUGGAGUUCCGGAAUCCAGUCCCACGUCUGGCUCCCUGCAAGGAGCCUGCUUCUCCCUCUGCCUGUGUCUCUCUGUGUGUCUCUCAUGAAUCAAUAAAUAAAAUCUUAAAAAAAAGAAAAAAAGAAAACAGGAGCAAGCAGCAGAAGUGUGUCAUUCCUGCAUGUAAUCAGCAUAGCUGUUCUGAGAUCAUGGUGGCAUGGGUGGAGAUAGGUCCUUUUUUUUUUUAAAGGCAGAUGCUAAACUGCUGAGCCACCCAGGGAUUCCCCGCCCCCCCCAGAUGAGUCUUUUUUAAAACAGCCCCAGUGUAAGGUCCCUACAUCGAAAGGUGGAGACAGUAGAACUUUACACACACGCACCCUUAACCUGUGGACUGUACCCAUGCCAGUGACCUGCAUGUGAUAUUGUACCACAGUGUUACAAAGUGUUACCAAUGGGGGAAAGUGGGCAAAGUGUACAAGAAACCUCCCUGUAUUAUUUCCUACAACUGAAUGUAAACCUACAAUUACCACAGUAAGAGUUUCAGUAGAAAGGUGGAGACGGGCCCAGGUACUCCAGGGUUUGGUCUGUAGCUACCUUCUGAUAAGCUCUGGGCACUUAAAAACUCCAAAAUUCUUUGUAUGGCGGAUAAAGACCUUUUUGAUCUGC
Molecule: long non-coding RNA, 2144 nt
Organism: Canis lupus familiaris (dog)
Lineage: Eukaryota; Metazoa; Chordata; Mammalia; Carnivora; Canidae
Exons: 4
Source: RefSeq, a predicted model, not a curated record